CCUACGGGCAGCAGCAGUGGGGAAUAUUGGACAAUGGGCGAAAGCCUGAUCCAGCCAUGCCGCGUGUGUGAAGAAGGCCUUCGGGUUGUAAAGCACUUUCAGUGGGGAAGAAAGCCUUGGGGCUAAUACCCUCGAGGAAGGACAUCACCCACAGAAGAAGCACCGGCUAACUCCGUGCCAGCAGCCGCGGUAAUACGGAGGGUGCGAGCGUUAAUCGGAAUUACUGGGCGUAAAGCGCGCGUAGGCGGUCUGAUAAGCCGGUUGUGAAAGCCCCGGGCUCAACCUGGGAACGGCAUCCGGAACUGUCAGGCUAGAGUGCAGGAGAGGAAGGUAGAAUUCCCGGUGUAGCAGUGAAAUGCGUAGAGAUCGGGAGGAAUACCAGUGGCGAAGGCGGCCUUCUGGACUGACACUGACGCUGAGGUGCGAAAGCGUGGGUAGCAAACAGGAUUAGAUACCCUAGUAGUC
This 465-nucleotide ribosomal RNA is filed under the name Vreelandella stevensii. RNAcentral's name for it is "partial 16S ribosomal RNA". It matches the Rfam family "Bacterial small subunit ribosomal RNA", at positions 338 to 795 of the family's 1533-position model. Lineage: Bacteria; Pseudomonadati; Pseudomonadota; Gammaproteobacteria; Oceanospirillales; Halomonadaceae. The record is from RNAcentral.